GAUGAACGCUGGCGGCAUGCCUAAUACAUGCAAGUCGAACGAGAGGAAGGAAAACUUGCUUUUCUGAAUCUAGUGGCGAACGGGUGAGUAACACGUAGGUAACCUGCCCAUGUGCCCGGGAUAACUUCUGGAAACGGAUGCUAAAACCGGAUAGGUAACAGACAAGCAUUUGACUGCUAUUAAAGUGGCUAAGGCCAUGAACAUGGAUGGACCUGCGGUGCAUUAGCUGGUUGGUGAGGUAACGGCGCACCAAGGCGACGAUGCCUAGCCGGCCUGAGAGGGCGGACGGACACAUUGGGACUGAGACACGGCCCAAACUCCGACGGGAGGCAGCAGUAGGGAAUUUUCGUCAAUGGGGGGAGCCCUGAACGAGCAAUGCCGCGUGAGUGAGGAAGGUCUUCGGGUCGUAAAGCUCUGUUGUAAGAGAAAAACGACAUUCAUAGGGAAUGAUGAGUGAGUGAUGGUAUCUUACCAGAAAGUCACGGCUAACUACGUGCCAGCCGCCGCCGUAA
RNAcentral lists this ribosomal RNA (512 nucleotides) under uncultured bacterium. RNAcentral's name for it is "partial 16S ribosomal RNA". It matches the Rfam family "Bacterial small subunit ribosomal RNA", at positions 28 to 523 of the family's 1533-position model. The record is from RNAcentral.